CAUCCAGCAGAGCUUUACUGCUACUGAAGGCAAAUGAGCAUAAUGGUCACAAAUCCAAUACACUCAGGAUUGGCACUGUCCAUAAGAAAUCCAGUCGCAGCAGACUUAACAUAAACUUACAAUAACUUAUAAUAAGACAUACAUAACACUACAUACAGAACACCACACCAGAAGAUAAAGAUAGAAAGAGAAAGGUGAAACCCAGUUUCCUUCUGGCCUUAUUAUUAUAGUCAGCGUGACCUUGACUGAAGAGAUAACAGAACCAGUUUAAGCCACCUGUAUUCCGCUUCUCUGAAGGAAUAACCCAAACAUCAUGAACCUUCUGCUUGUUUCACACAGAGAAGCUUCCAGAACCCUCUCGAAUGAAUCAGAAUAGGAAAGAUCUCUACACAUCAGAUCAAUCUUUUCUGUACCAAGAAAUGCAAUCUGACAGGGGAACGGGGUGAGCUGGGACAGCAGUCCCUAGUCUUUGUAAAUAAGCACAAGUAUUUCAAAAUAUCCAUAAACCUCCAAUGAACUGUUGAAUGGUUUCUUUAAAUGUAAAGGUUCAUCAUUGUUCCACUCGAUGUGUAUGUCUUUAAGGGGCCAGAGCAAGGGCCAGAGCAAAAUAACGAGACCCAGUUUUACAGCUGUGAAACAUAGCAGGUGCUGCUGAGUUGUAUUGAUUAAGCUGUGUCAGCAUUUGGGUGUAGUAUAUAAGGAGCAGCACCUAGCUCUCCCAUUACCCUGGGGGAUGGGUUGGGUCUGGUUUGUUGUUGAUGUAUUUAGUGUAUAAGGAGUUUUUGUUUUUGUUAUUAAAACCUUCUUUAAGUUAUUUUUGAGUCCCUUUUUAAUGCAUGGUCUCCCCAGCAAGCUCUCUGCAGCGCUACCAAACUGCAAAAAGCCAACAUGAACUUCUUCCAAAGGGAGCCAAACUUGUGGAAGCGCUACAGUCCUGGAACUUCUUGUCUUUUGGAGAAAUAGGGUGAGAAUGGCAACAGUUCCAGACGCUCAACCAUUUCACUGAAACAGGUUCCUUCCCUCUAGUGACCACAGGCUCAGCUUGAACCACAACAUUUUCAGCAAUCGUAUUUCUGUUUUAAUGCAGCGGAGAUCUGUGGUUAUGACUCUUAAGGCAAGUCAGGCUGGAGGGAAGUGGUCAGGAGUGAUUGUGCAGCUUCUAUCCUGCGGUCGCUCAUUGCAAACAAUGCUGGGUUUCUGCAAAGAGGUUUUUGCCUCACUUCCCCAGGGACUGCAUCGCCGUGCGUACUUGUCGUUGCCGUCAUAAGACAAACAGUAAUAAUCAGCCUCGUCUUCUGGUUGCAGCUUGGAGAUGGUUAAGGUGGCCGUGUUGGAAGGUUUGUUGACA
Podarcis lilfordi (Lilford's wall lizard) is the source of this 1348-nucleotide non-coding RNA. The record is from the annotation of a GenBank genome assembly. Lineage: Eukaryota; Metazoa; Chordata; Lepidosauria; Squamata; Lacertidae.